CCGUUGACUAGGCUAAUCAGUGUACACGUGUAAUUAAAAAUUAUUAUUUCAAAUGAAUUUUACAUUUAUUAAAUGUCUAAGGGUAAAAAAGUCAAAUCACUAUUAAAUAUCAGAUUGCUUUUUUAUUUCUUCUUUAAUCGGCGUCGUCUGUGCCUCCAUCUCCGGUUGGUACUCAAAGUGUUUCUGCCAUUUUUCAAAAUCUUGAACCUCACUCCUCCCAAAUUCUCCUUUUAUAAACAAGAGAACAAAAAAAAUAUCAAUUUAGGAAAGAGAAAAUAAAACCAUUAAAACACAGUGGUAGAUUAUGCAAUUUCUUCAUCAGCUAUAACUUUUUUCACCAAAAAAUAUCAAAAACAAACAAAAUAAAUUAAAAAUGCAUGCAAAAAUAAUUUCAGAGGUAACAAGCCUCGCCCUUUCGAUGACCAGCAGAAAAAAUAAAACUAAUUAUCUCUCUCGGGAGGAGUAAUAAUUAGAUCUAAGCAGCUGUAACAAGGUUGACUCCUCGCUUCUGUAGUAUUUUACGUGACCAACAUUACAAGCAAAGGCAGGCAAAGGGCAAACGUUCAACAGAAAGAACUUUGACACAAAUAAGGUCGGCUACUUGGAAAUGGUUUCAGAUCUGUAAGUUAAUUCAUUCAAAAAAAAUUCAAAAUAGUUUGAAACUUUUAGAUUAAAAGUUAUAUACUCCCUCUAUUAUAUACUCCCUCCGUUGGCUGCCACUCCCGUGAAUCGUCAUCUACCCGAUUUUCUGGUUCGCUUAAGCCUGGAUCACGUAAGAUUUAGCUAAACAGCGCCAGAUCUGAUGGACGAAAAGGCGGCAGGAGGAAGAAAGCCGACGUGAUUGAAGAAGAAAGGGGUUCUUGAUGAUGUGGAGAAGCAGAAAAGGCUUCCUCGUCACUGCUAUAUUCUGGCAUUUGUUGUGGGUUUCUUCAUUUGAUCAUUGGUUUGGAUCUAGAUUUAUAUUUGAUUUCUAUUGAAAGUUUUUUUUUUUUUUUUUUAUCCGUGAUGAAUGCUUAAUCAUUUGAAAUGUGUAGUUUUAAUGUUUAAUAUAAAGUGUUUUGUAUGGGGUGUUACCAUUUUACCUUCUAUUAUAUCAAAUUUAUUUAAUCAAUGAUUAAAAAACUAUUUUUUA
RNAcentral lists this long non-coding RNA (1132 nucleotides) under Panax ginseng (ginseng). RNAcentral describes it as "long non-coding RNA (PGIN_LNC014708)". The record is from RNAcentral. Lineage: Eukaryota; Viridiplantae; Streptophyta; Magnoliopsida; Apiales; Araliaceae.